UACCAAUAAGAUGUUAAGCAAUUCAGUUGCAAAUAGUCACUCCCUAAGACCUUUUUGUCUAUGUUUUGAUUAAAAAUAAAAUAAAAUGGUCUUUUAGAAGUCUAAGGCCGUAUCAAUAACCCUCUUGAAAGUGUAAAGGUCAACCAUUAUUAACUCUUAUAAAGCAUAAGUUGGUAGGCCCAAGUGUAUGGCUUGUGAAUGGGUGUUACUAAUGCAAGAUGGAUAUAGAUCCUUAAUCAUAUUCUUUUGUGGUGCCU
RNAcentral lists this long non-coding RNA (257 nucleotides) under Carica papaya (papaya). Its description in RNAcentral is "long non-coding RNA (CPAP_LNC004382)". The record is from RNAcentral. Lineage: Eukaryota; Viridiplantae; Streptophyta; Magnoliopsida; Brassicales; Caricaceae.